This 114-nucleotide ribosomal RNA is filed under the name Erinaceus europaeus (western European hedgehog). Lineage: Eukaryota; Metazoa; Chordata; Mammalia; Eulipotyphla; Erinaceidae. The record is from RNAcentral.
GUCUAGAGCCAUACCACCCUGAACAUGCCCGAUCUUGUCUGAUCUCAGAAGCUAAGCAGGGUCGGGCCUGGUUUGUACUUGGAUGGGAGAAAUAUGAGAACCUGGACUGUGACA